GCCGGAGUAGCUCAGUGGUAGAGCAAUGCUUUCGUAAAGCAGAGGUCGAGGGUUCAAGUCCCUCCUCCGGCU
This 72-nucleotide transfer RNA is filed under the name Patescibacteria group bacterium. RNAcentral describes it as "tRNA-Thr". It matches the Rfam family "tRNA". Rfam says of the family: Transfer RNA (tRNA) molecules are approximately 80 nucleotides in length. Their secondary structure includes four short double-helical elements and three loops (D, anti-codon, and T loops). The record is from RNAcentral.